Molecule: long non-coding RNA, 2097 nt
Organism: Eriocheir sinensis (Chinese mitten crab)
Lineage: Eukaryota; Metazoa; Arthropoda; Malacostraca; Decapoda; Varunidae
Exons: 5
Source: RefSeq, a predicted model, not a curated record
CGUCAUUUGUAAACAAAACCUGGCGGGAUAUCAUAGCAGAGACUGCUCAACAUAGACUCAUUCAUUUCCCGGCUAAUAUCAUUGUCUCCUUAGACAUUUACAUUACUCCACAUAGUGUGAUGCAGUGCCUACACGUUCUACAGUAGUAAUACCACCGCGGCACCGCCACAACGGUAGAGAGGGAUGACCUGAUGCCGCUAUCCCGACAUGGUAUACCUCCACCACAGCCUGUAACAGUGGCUGUUCAUCUUCACCCACACCUGAUUUCUUGAGAUGGAAAGACUGUAUGGAACUGGACAUUGGAGUCAAUUACACGGCUCAUUCUGGACCAAAGAAAUCAUGUGAUGGCACCAAACAGAUAUUCUACUGUCGAAGAUCAGGUGUUCAGUCAACGAAGAUUUCCAGUAAGAGUCGUGCAGAAAAGAGCCAAGGUACCUGUAAGAUGGGGUUUUACUGCACCUCAUCAAUUGAAGUUGUGAAGAAGGAUGAAAAGAUUUGUGUGACCUUUUACUCUGACCAUCGUGAUCACAACCUUGAUUUUAACAGCCAGGUUCACAUGACACUUCCCAAGAGUGAACAGGAUAAGAUUGCAGCUUGUGAUGAAAUCAUCAUAUCUGCAAAGCGUAUGAUUACACAAGGGAUCGAACAUGACAUAAUUUUGGACAGAGUGCGGGAGUCAGCAGGCAGUAAUCGAAUGUCUUUCUUAGAAAAGAAGGAUAUAGAUAAUAUUUGUGUUAGGUAUGGAUUGAAUAAAACCCACAGCAGACACUCUGAUGACAGCACAAGUGUACGAUUAAUUGUUAAAGAAAUGCAGGAUGCCAAUGAAGUCUUGUAUUUCAAAGAUCAAGGAGAUGUAGAUUCAGAUAAUCCUGAAAUACCAUCCAAAGAAUUUGUAUUAGGUUUUAUGAAAGGGGGACAAGAAUAAAUAUUUUCUACCCAGAUGAAAUCUUGUGACAAGAUACAGGUAUGCAUGGACUUGAUGAAGAAAAGAACUGGAAAACCUUUCAGAGAGAGACAUGAAAAAGGCAUGAAGCUCAAAGUUACUCAGGAGGAUCAUGGCCUUUUCACUGUGUCCUCUGAAUCUUUUGAAAAUAAGCUUUAUGAGAUACAGACAAAUAAUCCUACUUGUGAAGUAUGUAGGGAAAGGUGUCCAGACUGUCAUGUCUGUAAAUGCAUGUAUGUGUGCACAUGUGAUGACAGUGCUAAAGGUAUGAAGAACAUAUGUAAGCAUAUACAUGCAGUUGCAGAAUUUUUAAGAAAUAAGUCACAGAUAGCUAAACCAAAGUUGCCAACAGAAGAAAUUGAGAAGAUCCAUGAUGUUGUAAGUAAUGAGGAAAUAGCCAAACCUAAGGUGUCAACAGAAGAAAUUAAUAUGAUUCAUGAUGUAAGUAAUGAGGAAACCUAUGAUAGACAAGUUGUGAAAUACCAGGAACAAUUGAAAAACAAAAUUAUGUUACAGCUUCUCCCAAAAUGUAGUGAAAGUAAGGACCUUCAAGUUUUGAAAACUGCUAAUAGCUUGUUGUGUAAGUUAAUUGCAACAUUAGAUGCUGGCACGAGUUAUCCACCAAACAACAGUAACUGGCCUGUGGAUGUGACAACUGUUUCAGAGCCAGGUAAUAAAAAGUGUGUUAAGCAAGACCGGUUGUAUUCGACAAGGAAGAGAAAACGAGAAAAUAUAGGUAUGUGCUUAAAAAAGCCUAGUUCAAAAGCAAGAUUAAUAAUUGGGGAGAGUCUUGCAAAGUCUGAGUCUGAUGUAAGUGUUCCAGUACUAUCAGAAGGUAGAAUAGACGAUGAACAUAGUUAUUGAGGUAUUAAGGUCUAAGGUGUGAUCGAAAAAUGUGUCAAGUUAAAGGUGUACCUAUCUCAUGUCUUUCUACCAUAGUCCACAAAUUUUUCAGUAACCCUUUGUAUUAAAAGCAAUGCUAGUGUAUCAAGGUAAAAAAAAAAGUAGAUGCUUUUGUCUUAUGUAUUGAAUCCUAUGUCCACUGAGUGGUCUGUUUACUUUAAUGUUUGAGGAUUAUUAUAUUAACCAAAGCUGGGUAUACUUGUAUGUAGUAUGUAAUUCUGAUAUGUGUCUGAUUAUGCACAACUUACCUC